RNAcentral lists this RNase P RNA (284 nucleotides) under Hadesarchaea archaeon. Its description in RNAcentral is "RNase P RNA component". It matches the Rfam family "Archaeal RNase P". Rfam says of the family: Ribonuclease P (RNase P) is a ubiquitous endoribonuclease, found in archaea, bacteria and eukarya as well as chloroplasts and mitochondria. The record is from RNAcentral. Lineage: Archaea; Methanobacteriati; Hadarchaeota (SeqCode); Hadarchaeia (SeqCode).
GCGAGCCGAUGGGUGGCUCUCGGGGUUCUCCUGAGGAAACACCGUCCAUCAGAGGGGUCGCAGGUCCGAAAUGGGCUCGAUUGAGAAAUCGGACUCUGGAGCAGAAACGAUACCCGUUAACUCGCGCCAUGAUACAGGUGAUGUUGAGGUCGAGUUAACAGGGAUGAAACGGCCAAUCUGCGGGAUGCAAGGGCAAGAAAUCGCUGAUGAAUCCCUCAUAGGCGAGUGGUAGUCCGCUAAGCUAAAUGCCACUUAAAACAGAAGACGGGUUACGGUCGGCACGC